CAUCACUGAAUAUAAUUGGUUAAAGAAAAAAUUUCUGUCUUUUCCCAUAACUUAGUGCCAGGUCCUAGAAACACAUAACACAAAACAUAAGUCAUACAUAAUCAACACAAUCUUUAUAAUUGGUAAACUUUUUAAAUGAAAAUGUAAUCUAAUAACAAGAAAAUAACAGAAAGUGCAAUCUCUUUUCUUGCAUAUAAACCCAGGAAAUUAUAUCAAUAUGGCUUUCUAUUUGGGUAAAUAUUUUAAACACCGUGAAUGUUUCAAGAAAUUAACCUUUGGAGAUGUUGGUUUCUCAUGAGGUUGGCUUUGAAGGGGGCACCAUGGUUUCAGGUGGCAACAUCCAUAUUCCUGUAAAAAAAAAAAAGUAACUACGUUGUCAAAUACUUUGUGUUCAUGAAAAAUAAAAAGACGCAAACAAACUAUAAUUAUAUUCCAUGAUCGAAUUCCUAAUAUAAUAAAAAAUCAUAAUAAUAAUAAUAAUAAAUUAAUGCAGCAUAGGUACUUAAACCCAAAAGAAUUCAAACAUAACUCAAGAAUCUGAAAAUGGGAAACAAGUGGUAGAAUCAGACCGGAAUAAGACACCCUCUGUCCAUGGUGGCCAUCGCCGGCGCAGGAGCCAGUGAAAAGGUCACGAUUAGGGUGAAAUCAGAGAUGUGGGAAAACCAUGCAGAACAUCGUUCUUGAUUUCUCUGAUUUACUUCAAGAUACCGGAGGUUUGAUUUGCUGAGAUCAAACAAAAGAAUGCGUUGGGGCGUAUAAGUUGAUAUUGGGGAUGAAAGGCUUCCGUUUCAAGAAAGAAAGGCGGUAGAGGAGAAGUUAAGUGAAUCGUUCCAUCCAGAAGGGAAAAGAAGAUGGCAGAAAAGCAAAGUAGGUGGCGUGAGAUGUAUUAUUCAUCCGAUGGAAAUUGUAACUUGUAAGUAGGUAUAAUGUGGGUUUAUAGAAUGGACAACAAAUACAUGAAGAAAAAUGGGUUUAUAGAAUGUAUUUUGGAUCAAGAGGAGGAAAAGGAUGAAUAAGAAGGAGAACGAAGACCAGAGGAAAACCCUGGUAAUUUCAAGAAAACAAGUACUCCGAGGAACCACAUUAGAAAAGUAGAUACGAAAAGGAAGAAGAAUAUGAAGAGUUCAGGUGCCCUCUCUCUUGG
This 1144-nucleotide long non-coding RNA is filed under the name Lactuca sativa (garden lettuce). Its description in RNAcentral is "long non-coding RNA (LSAT_LNC003415)". The record is from RNAcentral. Lineage: Eukaryota; Viridiplantae; Streptophyta; Magnoliopsida; Asterales; Asteraceae.